UCUGUUUUUUUUUUUUUUUUUGUAAAAUCUCCAAGUCUGCCCCAAUUUAUUGCAGCAAAAUAAUCACGGGGUCGUUUUGAAACAAUUGAAAUAGGAAUGCAAUGGGGUUUCGUCUGUUUUUUUUUUUUUUUUUGUAA
RNAcentral lists this non-coding RNA (137 nucleotides) under Entomoneis paludosa. The record is from RNAcentral. Lineage: Eukaryota; Bacillariophyta; Bacillariophyceae; Surirellales; Surirellaceae.